RNAcentral lists this transfer RNA (90 nucleotides) under Dysgonamonadaceae bacterium. RNAcentral's name for it is "tRNA-Ser". It matches the Rfam family "tRNA". Rfam says of the family: Transfer RNA (tRNA) molecules are approximately 80 nucleotides in length. The record is from RNAcentral. Lineage: Bacteria; Pseudomonadati; Bacteroidota; Bacteroidia; Bacteroidales; Dysgonomonadaceae.
GGAAAGCUGCCGGAGUGGUCGAUCGGGCUUGACUCGAAAUCAAGUGUACGGGUAACCGUACCGGGGGUUCGAAUCCCUCGCUUUCCGCGA